CUGACAACAGUCAUGCUUCCUGUUUUAGGAGUGGAUUGAGCAGCUGGAGCUGUAGCAGCUGUCUCAGGAUUAUGUGCAGCAGGCCUUGAGCAGCAGAGGCAAUCAAAUCAGACCCAGGUCUCGGACGGGAGUCGCUGAGCUGCCAACCACCAAAUUUCAUUUAAAAUAAACAACAAAUGUCCUUAUGGAUUACAUUAUGGGUCACCAAACAACAACCUGCAGGUCAGAUCCAGCACACCAUCUGUUUUUGGAAGGCUCGGCAGUCAUAUAGCUGGAGGUUGGGUCUUUGGAUGUUUGACCUCUGAAGAUCCCUUCCAGAUCUACAUGUAAUUAUUCUUGUGAUUAUAGUUAAACCUCUAUCAUGCCAAUCAAAUGCUAAACCUUUCACAGAAUCCCCUGAAGGCUUGGUCUUGGAUCUCAAGGAAUUUUUUUAAGACUCUUUCAAACUGUAUUAAGAAUAGGUCACAUUCUGAAGACAUUUUAAAGAAAUGAUUCAUGAAGAUUGAUGACUCUGAGAAAAUGUGAGUGACAGAGCCUAAGAUUUCAAGGCAUUUACUUGUCUAUUUAAAUUUACAAAUUAGAGAAAAAUUGACUUGUCCUAUUUAAUUUGAAAAACUUCAGAACUCUCCAGUUUAAACUACUAAUAAUUGUAGCCAUGUUUUAUUACAUCUUUACCCAGGGGCUUAUCAAAAGUUUUGC
This 699-nucleotide long non-coding RNA is filed under the name Fukomys damarensis (Damara mole-rat). Its description in RNAcentral is "lncRNA (ENSFDAG00000022487.1)". Lineage: Eukaryota; Metazoa; Chordata; Mammalia; Rodentia; Bathyergidae. The record is from RNAcentral.